GGCUGGGGGUUCACAUGUCGCGCCGUAUCUCAGAAACUAUCUAUAAUAAUUGCAUAGAACUUCACAUACUAUUUAGUUAAAUUAUUCUUAAGAUCUGUACACUUUUUCGUGAUGAUUCUUUAAUUCAUUUUUGAGUUCUUGAAUUUUUAUUGAGCUUCAAUUUGGGGAUCAUAUAAACAUGUUGUGAUAUAUAAACUUAUUAUUGAGCAAGAAUAAUGAAUGAGUCAGGAUAUACCUAGCAUGACUUCCGUACAACCCCCGUGUUAUUUUAAAAACAUGUAUUAUGUUGGGUUUUUUUUUCAUGAGACGAAGGGCGUAUCAUGCGCUCGAAGCGCAGCUGUUUAUUUUUUCUUUAUUUUUUUAUAGAUAUAUUAGAGAAAUGACGGAAUGACAGAAAAUACAAUGCAAUUUUCAAUAUAAUUAAUAUUUCCAAAUGGCAUAACUCUUUUAAAGAAUAGUUGAUAUGCACUGAUUUUCGAACAUGUCCAUACGAUAUCAGUUUUAUAGAAAGUUUGCAAGAAUUGUACACUUGAAAAAUCUAAUUAACCAGAAGUCUGGAAGGACAGACAGGGGAAUGGACAUGCGGUAUUUUAUGUACGCGCUGUGGUGAAAAAAAUAUAUAGUUAUUUACCAAUAAAAUUACGCUAUGAGAGAAUGAUUUUAAUUGCAACUAAUCGUAAUAUAUCCAGUCCUCUCGCUAUUAAUUCAAUCAUUUUUUUGCCAAAUCAAAAAAUUUCAAAAUUAUAGUUUCUCUGUCUGGACAAAAGCAUCCAUUAGCAAAUUGAAGAUUCUCCUUUGUAAGAUUUUGCUUCUGUUUUCUGACCACAUAAAACGGAAGAUGUGGUAUAAUUGCCAAUUAGACAACUCUCAUCAAGAGACAAACAUGACACAGAAAUUAACAACUAUAGGUCUUCAACAAUGAGCAAAGCCCA
RNAcentral lists this long non-coding RNA (932 nucleotides) under Mytilus galloprovincialis (Mediterranean mussel). Lineage: Eukaryota; Metazoa; Mollusca; Bivalvia; Mytilida; Mytilidae. The record is from RNAcentral.